This 255-nucleotide ribosomal RNA is filed under the name uncultured bacterium. Its description in RNAcentral is "partial 16S ribosomal RNA". It matches the Rfam family "Bacterial small subunit ribosomal RNA", at positions 524 to 776 of the family's 1533-position model. The record is from RNAcentral.
CACGUAGGGUGCGAGCGUUGUCCGGAAUUAUUGGGCGUAAAGAGCUCGUAGGCGGUGUGUCGCGUCGGCCGUGAAAACCUGCAGCUUAACUGUGGGCUUGCGGUCGAUACGGGCAUCACUGGAGUUCGGCAGGGGAGACUGGAAUUCCUGGUGUAGCGGUGAAAUGCGCAGAUAAUCAGGAGGAACACCGGUGGCGAAGGCGGGUCUCUGGGCCGAUACUGACGCUGAGGAGCGAAAGCGUGGGGAGCGAACAGG